UCGGGAAUAUUGCGCAAUGGAGGAAACUCUGACGCAGUGACGCCGCGUAUAGGAAGAAGGUUUUCGGAUUGUAAACUAUUGUCGUUAGGGAAGAAAAAAGACAGUACCUAAGGAGGAAGCUCCGGCUAACUACGUGCCAGCAGCCGCGGUAAUACGUAGGGAGCAAGCGUUAUCCGGAAUUAUUGGGUGUAAAGGGUGCGUAGACGGGAAUAUAAGUUAGUUGUGAAAUCCCUCGGCUCAACUGAGGAACUGCAACUAAAACUAUAUUUCUUGAGUGCAGGAGAGGAAAGUGGAAUUCCUAGU
This 303-nucleotide ribosomal RNA is filed under the name uncultured bacterium. RNAcentral's name for it is "bacterial SSU rRNA". It matches the Rfam family "Bacterial small subunit ribosomal RNA", at positions 355 to 674 of the family's 1533-position model. The record is from RNAcentral.